UACGGAGGAUGCGAGCGUUAUCCGGAUUUAUUGGGUUUAAAGGGUGCGUAGGCGGGCUUUUAAGUCAGCGGUAAAAAUUCGGGGCUCAACCCCGUCGAGCCGUUGAAACUGGCAGACUUGAGUUGGCGAGAAGUACGCGGAAUGCGCGGUGUAGCGGUGAAAUGCAUAGAUAUCGCGCAGAACUCCGAUUGCGAAGGCAGCGUACCGGCGCCAGACUGACGCUGAGGCCCGAAAGCGUGGGGAGCAAACAGG
RNAcentral lists this ribosomal RNA (252 nucleotides) under uncultured bacterium. RNAcentral describes it as "partial 16S ribosomal RNA". It matches the Rfam family "Bacterial small subunit ribosomal RNA", at positions 524 to 776 of the family's 1533-position model. The record is from RNAcentral.